Molecule: ribosomal RNA, 240 nt
Filed under: uncultured bacterium
Lineage: Bacteria
Description: partial 16S ribosomal RNA
Rfam family: Bacterial small subunit ribosomal RNA
Source: RNAcentral
UACAACAUAGGAAAUCUGCCUUAGGGUGGGGGACAACAGAGGGAAACUUCUGCUAAUACCCCAUAUGAGCUUGGUUGAAAUACCAAUCUUGAAAGUUCCGGCGCCCUAAGAUGAGCCUGUGCCUGAUUAGCUAGUUGGUGGUGUAAUGGACUACCAGGGCGACGAUCAGUAGCUGGUUUGAGAGGAUGAUCAGCCACAAUGGGACUGAGACACGGCCCAUACUCCUACGGAAGGCAGCAG